UAAGGAAUAUUGCGCAAUGGGCGACAGCCUGACGCAGCGACGCCGCGUGGGGAUGAAGGUCUUCGGAUUGUAAACCCUUCGUCAGGGAAGGAUGGAGCGGGCAAGCCGCAUCGGACGGUACCGUGCAGAACGCAGCACGGCUAACGUUCAUGUGCCAGCAGCCGCGGUAAUACGAAGGUGGCAAGCGUUGUUCGGAUUUACUGGGCGUACAGGGAGCGUAGGCGGUUGGGUAAGCCCUUCGUGAAAUCUCCGGGCCUAACCGGAAAGUGCGGAGGGGACUGCUCGGCUAGAGGAUGGGAGAGGAGCGCGGAAUUCCCGGUGUAGCGGUGAAAUGCGUAGAGAUCGGGAGGAAGGCCGGUGGCGAAGGCGGCGCUCUGGAACAUUUCUGACGCUGAGGCUCGAAAGCGUGGGGAGCAAACA
Molecule: ribosomal RNA, 420 nt
Filed under: uncultured Nitrospira sp.
Lineage: Bacteria; Pseudomonadati; Nitrospirota; Nitrospiria; Nitrospirales; Nitrospiraceae
Description: bacterial SSU rRNA
Rfam family: Bacterial small subunit ribosomal RNA
Source: RNAcentral